AGGUUGCAGAUGCAGCUCAGAUCUGGUGUGGCUGUGGUGUAGGCCAGCAGCUGCAGCUCCAAUUUGACCUCCUAGUCUGGGAACUUCCAUAUGCCAUAAAUGUGGCCCUAAGACCCUCCCCCCUCAAAUAAUAAUAAUACAAAUUAAAACUAUAUUGAAUAAGUUCCAACACAAUAGAAUGGCUAAAAUUAAAAAGACUGACACUACCAAGUGUUGGUGAGAAUGAGGAACAACUGGAACCCUCAUACAUUCUUGAAGUUCAAGCCAACUUUAUGGGGUAAUUUUUCUGAGCCACCCUCUCUACUAUUUCCCCACAUCCCUAAGGCUCCCUUUUCGUUCUGCUAGUCAGAAAGCUGGGGCUUUAUUUACACUGUUCUACUGUGCUCUUCCCAUGACUGCCUGUAAGUCCAGACUAAGUGGUGGGAAGACAGAUGAUUAAUUGUGUUAAUUUGACUUCUUGAAUGUGGGAGAAUGAAGCUUGCAUUGGGGUAUAUAAAUGACUUCAAAGAGAAAGCUAGUUUGUGUUUUGAUUGCCUUAUUGGGUCUGUCUUCACUUAGUUCUUUGUCUGAAUCUUCCUUAUUUUCUUGCAAAAAAUCUUUUACUUAUAAUUGUUUUUCAUGGAGGUUCAGAAAGGUACUUAGCUUGCCAUAUUGCCAGAAGUGGAAUUUGUAGCUGAAAUUUUUCCCAAGUUUUAAUCAGGCUGAUUUCGUUACUUUUCUUCAAACUUUACAUGAACAUUUUUACCUCUGUACUUUGUGCAGGCUCUUCCCCCUGCUUAAAAUCUCUCUCUCCUCCCCUACUAGCCAAGUCCUGUGCAUCCUGCAGUGUUCACUUCAAGUUUCACCUCCUCUAUGAUGCUUUUCUUUGUGUCUGUCUGUCUUUCUGUCUGUCUGUCGUCUUUUUAGGGCCCCACUGGCGGCACAUGGAGGUUCCCAGGCUAGGGUCUUGAUCGGAGCUACAGGUGCCAGCCUACACCACAGCCACAGCAAUGCCAGAUCCCUAAACCACUGAGCGAGGCCAGGGAUCGAACCCGCAACCCCAUGGUUCCUAGUUGGAUUUGUUUCCCCUGAGCCACGACAGGAACUCCUGAUGCUUUUCUUGAAUGCUCUAGCUCAGUAGUUCCCAAGUGUUCAGAGUGUUUAUACCAAUACAAAUUUUAAAACAAACUUGGUGGAACUAUGUAAAAACGGGUCAUUUCCUCUUACCAUUAUUUUUGAAAAGAAAUUACUUUUUUAUCAAGAGAGCAGGAGGAACAUAAUGUCCGAUUAGGGAGAGUUUUAAAAAUUGGAUUAAAUACCUUUCUAUGGAAAACACACUGUGCUGUCCCAUUUUCCCCCUCAUUUUGCUACUGACUGGACAGAGCCUCACUGCUGACUGUCCACAGAUAAUCAGACCCAUAGCUUUAGCUCAGAAUGAAGUCUUCAACUUGAAACCCACAGCAUUUUGUUUUACUGUUUAUGUGGCAUCUAGUCAUGUAUUUCCUCAUGGCAGUGCAUGCUUGACUGUUUACCUUUAUAUUUUAUUUUUUGUCUCCUUGACUAGAUUGUAAACUCCUUAAGAGCCAUUAUAUGUAUGAAUUUAGACUACUCAUAAAUAUGUUGAAUGAAUUAAAUUUAGAUGCCUCAGAUGAUAGUUGAAACCCAGAAAUAUUUAUAGAGCAUACAUUUGAGUAUAUUAUAACUCUGAAUAUUGUUUAUUUCCCAAGGAAGAAGAAAUUUCAAUAUGAAUCAUGAAUCUCCUACUCAUCUGUCUUCUCCUCCUCAAGGAAAUCCAUUCAGUUAACAAAUGCAGUGCUUAUUAAAAGCCAGGCCUUUUGCUGGGGGGCUGAGAAUAGAGGUGAAGUGAAACAAAAUUCCUAGUCUAGUGGGUAACAUGUACGUACAAGUAAGAAGUAUAGACUAAGACCUGGGAAGCCUUUAAUAGAACUUUGAAACAAGUUUUGUGAUAGUGUAAAGAGAGCAACAGUUUUGUAAGGGAGUCAGAGGAGCCUCCAGAGAGGAGCCAUUUCAUUCAUUCAUUCAUUAUCUCUUAAAUGCUUACUCCUUGCCAAGCACUGUUGUAGACGCAUCUUGAAGGAAUUGGACAUUGAGGAUGGAGCACAUUUAGGCAGGGAAAUUGGGUUCAAGAGCAUGUCCUUUGAAGUAAGAAUAGACCUGAAUUUGAGUUCAUGUACUCAAGAUGUUUGUCCUUGAGUAAGCUAUUUAAUUUCUCUAAGACUAUUUUGUAAAAUUCAGAAAUACUUCCUACCUCACAAUAUUUUUAUGUGGAUAAAUGAGGGGGGUGUAUAAAGUGUUUUGCCCAGUGCUCAGUCUUUUGGAAAUAGCUCAGUAAAUGGUAAAUGCACAUACAAGGCAUAGGGGGUGACUCAGUCCUGAUCAGAAGCUCAAUGUGACUGUAAUGUUGUGUGUAUGUAUAGGGUAGGGGUUGUGGCAGAGGAAGGUGAAGAGUCUAGGCAAGGCCGAAUUGGAAACAGCCUCGCAAGUCAUUCUAAUGAGUAUCUUUAUAUUUUUGUAUGCAUUUGGGAGCUUUGGAGAUUUACAUUGUAUUUUUGUCUUUAUUUUCUAAAUUGUUUCAUGGUGUAGUAGCUGUAGCAUAGUGAGCUGGGUCAUAGUAGUUAGGAAUGUGGACUUGAGCUGAACUGCCUGGCUUCUAGUUCCAGCUUCCUCAUUGCCUACAUGCCUAACUUCAGGAAGUACUUUAACCUCUCUGUACCUUAGGUUCUUCACUGGUAAGCUGGACAAUAAACACACCUAUCUUGUUUGUUUGCGUAUAUGCUCUUUGAGCCAUGUUUUUAAAGCUAUGGAACUCUUUGUCAGAGGAAAUCUAUUUGAAAUUUAGACAUCUAAAACAGUAAAAAGUAGUUCUAUGUGGUGGGUCCCUUCUUUUCCCUCUAAGAUAUAUCUCCACUACUCUCUAAAAAUCACUAGCCUAAGACAAGUGACCUAAUGACUUUCACUUAAGUGUCUGUUAAAUUGAUGUUCAGGGCAAAGUACUUUUGUAAGUCAGGAACUUGGGAAAUUAUUAUGUGUAUUUAUUUAACUCAAUAUUUUGGUGCAUAAACCAUGAACCUCACAUUAACAACCAAAAUGUGACUUUGCAUUUUGCAAAACAGUUGGCACAUCUUUCUGAUUUAGAAUGAUAGUUACAAGAUAUCAGAAGUGAAAGAGGUCAUUCUUAGCGAUAUGUUUACGGGUGGGGAAAUUGGAUUCUAGAGAAGUCUUUAAAGCUAUGUUGCAGCCAGUCCACAUGUGCUCACGUUUUAGUCCUCUUUGUGCACCAUUGUCUCUCAUUUCUUGCGCUAAAUUGCACAGCCAGUUCAUCGCCAGAACCAGGGCAAGCAGAUAGUUUUCACCAUUUUUGGAAUCAUGCUUCUUUACAUACUUUUUUAAAACAGCAAGGGGUUUUCUUGGCUUUAAUGUUGACUUUGCUCUGAAGGGUUAUUUCUGAGACUAUGGAUUGGUUUUUGUUCCUCCAAUUGAUCUUGAGGUUCUCUGAAGGGCCUUGGAUUUGGGCUGCUUAGAUAUUCCAAGAUGCCUUUCCUUAUAUUGAUAAGCUCUUAUGGCUCUGAGUAAGUGCCAUGUAUCAAUAAAUCUAGAUCACAGGCAGACUACAUGGGAAGGAAAGAUACUCUAAAAUAAAAAUGGGCAUUUUAUUAUUUACCUGGGCGAGUAAGCAGACCAACUGUAGCUGAAAAUCUUAGAGGAAAUUUAAAGUUUUCCUGUCUGUCAAUGAUCUUAUAUUAAGGAAAUAGCAGACACUUGCGUAGGCAUCCAUGCCAAGUCACAUAGAGUCUGGACCUGAACACCCAGUGGCUGAGUUUCCACAGUUGGUCUCUUAGGCUCUAGGCUCUUUUAGUCUCUCGAGGACCACACAGACUCUUGUGUUGGAUUUUCUAUCUCCCUCCUCCCAGUGGGCUCUUCCUACUUGGGAUCAUUGUUAGGCCAUGUACCUUUGAGUUUUAAGCACUUUUAUUUAACUAAGCAGGUCCUAAAUCUGGCUGGUUAUGCCCUAGAAUCACCUUGGGAACUUAAAUUUUUUUCUGGGACCCCAUCUUGUACCCUCUGAAUCAGAAUCUCUGGGACCUGGGAAUCUAAUCUAUUUUCAAAAAAAUUCCUCAGAUGAUUUUGGUCCGCUUGUGGACCUAAAUUCUAGAACAAGUCAUAUAACUGACUCUAGUCCUGUGACUCAGUCCUGGAUUCUUAAGGGAGAGAAUCUAAUUGACUCAACCUGUCCGAUGUCUGUCCUGGUCCCUCACCACUUUUUUUUUUAAAGGGGAGUUGUAUAUAUGUAUCUUCAUUCUUCUUAGUCAUGGAUAAAUUAAUAGCAGUUUUCAAGGUAUAUUCCCGUAGAACUUUGGUGUUCUGAGUUGCUGUUAAAAUCGAAUGUUGCUGAAUAUUUUCUCCCAAGUCACAGAAAAAAAUAAUGGAUAGAAUACUUCAAUUUUAAGCAGAAUUUUCCUUUGUUGAACAGAAAUUCUUAAUUUGAUAUAAUCAAAUACAUCAGUUUUUCACAUUAUAGUUUGUGUUUUUGAAGUCUCAUAUCCUUAGCUAUCCAGAUCUAUGGUUUUGGCUUUGGACACUGUUAGGGAAGGAUUGUAAGGAAAAAUUCCUAGAAGGAGAUGGGUUAGAAAUGGAAAAAUUGUAGAUAAAGAAUGAGAUUAUCUCAAUUUCAAUUCCUGAUUCUUUUCUGCAUAGACAGUCAUGUUGUCUGGGAAUAGGAACAAUGUUUUGUUUUCCUUUUCAGUCCGUAUGCCUUUUGUUUCUUUUUCUUUCUUUAUUGUCCUGGCUAGGCUCUCUAGUAUGAUAGAGAAAUGGUGAGGGUAGACAUCCUUGCCUUGUUUUCCAAUCCUGGAGGGAAUAUAGUCUUUCACCAUUAAGUAUAAUGUUAACUGUAGGUUUUCCAGAGAGGUCUCUUAUUAGGUUGACAAAGAUCUCUGUUUCUAGUUUUCUGAGUUUUUUUUUUUUUUUUUUUAGUCAUGAAAAAAAUAUGUAUAUUUUUGGUCUUUUUAGGGCUGUACCCACAGCAUAUGGAAGUUCCCAGGCUAGGGGUAGAAUCGGAGCUGCAGCUGUUGGCCACAGCCACAGCAACACCAGAUCCAAGCCACGUGUGUGACCUACCCCACAGCUCAUGGCAACACCAGAUUCUUAACCCACUGAGUGAGGCCACAGAUCAAACCCGAGUCCUCAUGGAUACUAGUCAGAUUCAUUACCCCUGAGCCAUGAUGGGAGCUCCUAUCAUAAAUAUGUUUUGAAUUGUUUUAAAUGCUUUUUCUGCAUCAGUGGAUAUAAUUAUGAUUUUUCUUCUUUAGCCUAUUAAUGUGGUGUCAGUUAUAUUGAUUUUUCAAUAUUGAGCUAGCCUUGCAUCCCAGGAAUAAACUCCACAUGCUCAUGUUGUAUAUUAUUGAAUUUACUAAAAUUUUGUUAAAGAUUUGUGUGUUUAUAUUUGGGAAGGACAUUGGUCUGUAGUGUUGUGUGUGUGUAGAAUUAAUUUUUUUGGUGGGGGCUACUGUCUUUGGUUUUGUAAAAUGAGUUGGGAAGUAUUUCUUCCUCUCAUUUUCUGGAAGAUAAAUUGCAUACAAUUGGUAUUCUUUAAAUGUUCAAUAGAAUUAUCCAGGGAAACCAUUUGCAUCUAUUGAGAUGAUCAUUUGACUUUAGUUCAUGUUGUUGGCAUUUCUGAUGUUCUUUAUUGCUUGACACAGAUUUAUAUUACCAUCCAGCAUCAUUUCUUUCUACUUGAAGGACUUCUAACAUUUCGUGUAGUACAGGUCUGCUGCUGAUGAAUUCUAUCAGCAUUUGUAAUGUCUAAAAAAUCUUUAUUUUGCCUUUACUUUUGAAAUAUUCUUUGGGAAUAGAAUCCUAGGUUGUCAGUUUUUUCUUUCAGUACUUAAAAGGCGUUGUCUACUGUCUUCUUAUUUGCCUUGUUUUUGACAGAUCUUCUGUCAUUCUGUUCUUUGUUCCUCUGAAUGUAACACAUGUUUUUUGUUCUGCUUUUAAGAUUUUAUUACUGGUUUUGAGCAAUUUGCUUAUCAUCUGUCCUAGACUUCUUCGUUUCUUGUGUUUGGGGUUUGUUGAGCUUUUUGGAUUUGUGCAUUUAUAGUAUUCAUCAAAGACACUGUUGUAUAUUAUAUAUGUAGAAUUGGUUUAAAAAAAGUAGGAAAUCUGGAGCCACACUGUCAGAUUCCAGCUUCAUCUCUUACAAGCUGCUGAUUUUGGGAAGGUAGCCUUUUAUUUCAGUUUCCUCAUUCCUAAAAUAGGAAUGAUAAUAGUUCCUCUUUCACAGGGUUGUUGGGAAGAUUAAAUGAGAUAAUACAUUAAAAAAUGCUUAAAACAGUGUCUGACACAUAGAUAGGUGUUUAGUAAGUAAUAAGAUUUAGAAACUGCUUACUCUUGUGCAGAGUAUCUUACUCUUAUUAAAUGAUAGUAAUUUUACUCUCACAGGCUUGGCUUGAGGAUUAAAUGAGAAAGAACAUAAAAGCAGGUCAUCAGUGAAAUAAUUUAUUUCCGCAAGUUGCCUCGGGAGCUCCCUGAAAAUUAUGUGUAAAAAAAAAAUUUAGUCCCCUUUUCUGGGAAGAUAGUGAAGCUUUUCAGGGUCUGUCUUUGCCACCCCCAAUCUAAGAUUAAAGUUGCUACUUUAGGAAGUUCCUGUCAUGGCUCAGCAGUUAACGAACCUGAAUAGCAUCCAUGAGGAUGUGGGUCCCAUCCCGGCCUUGCUCAGUGGGUUAAGGAUCCGAUGUUGCCGUGAGCUGUGGUAUAGGUUACAGACAUGGCUUGGAUCUGGCGUGGCUGAGGUGUAGGCUGGCGGCUUCAGCUCCAAUUCUACCCCUAGCCUGGGAACCUCCAUCUGCCUCAGGUGCGGCCCUAAAAAAAAAAAAAAGACAAAAGACAAAAGAGUUGCUACUUUAGGAGUUGAGUUACCUGGUGGCCUAAUGGUUAAGGAUCUGACAUUGUCACUGCUGUGGCAUGGGUUCAGUCCCUGGCCUGGGGACUUCUGCAU
This 6994-nucleotide long non-coding RNA is filed under the name Sus scrofa (pig). RNAcentral describes it as "lncRNA (ENSSSCG00055028446.1)". The record is from RNAcentral. Lineage: Eukaryota; Metazoa; Chordata; Mammalia; Artiodactyla; Suidae.